UAACCUACCCAUCAGAGGGGGAUAACACUUGGAAACAGGUGCUAAUACCGCAUAACAGUUUAUGCCGCAUGGCAUAAGAGUGAAAGGCGCUUUCGGGUGUCGCUGAUGGAUGGACCCGCGGUGCAUUAGCUAGUUGGUGAGGUAACGGCUCACCAAGGCCACGAUGCAUAGCCGACCUGAGAGGGUGAUCGGCCACACUGGACUGAGACACGGCCCAG
Molecule: ribosomal RNA, 218 nt
Filed under: uncultured bacterium
Lineage: Bacteria
Description: partial 16S ribosomal RNA
Rfam family: Bacterial small subunit ribosomal RNA
Source: RNAcentral